Molecule: small RNA, 102 nt
Filed under: uncultured Ochromonas
Lineage: Eukaryota; Chrysophyceae; Chromulinales; Chromulinaceae
Description: partial transfer-messenger RNA
Source: RNAcentral
UUCCAAAUAUGUCGAAUUUUUACAGACGCUACCUCGCUGGAGUGAAAAAAGACGAGCCACUCCUCGAUAAUAGUACUGCUAGGGCACGUCCAGUUGAUCCAA